UAAGAUUAGCAUGGCCCCUGUGCAAGGAUGACACACAAAUCAAGAAAUGGUCCAAAUUCUU
Molecule: small nuclear RNA, 61 nt
Filed under: Nicotiana sylvestris (wood tobacco)
Lineage: Eukaryota; Viridiplantae; Streptophyta; Magnoliopsida; Solanales; Solanaceae
Also listed under: 1 other name
Source: RNAcentral